This 460-nucleotide ribosomal RNA is filed under the name uncultured bacterium. RNAcentral's name for it is "partial 16S ribosomal RNA". It matches the Rfam family "Bacterial small subunit ribosomal RNA", at positions 338 to 795 of the family's 1533-position model. The record is from RNAcentral.
CCUACGGGGGGCAGCAGUGAGGAAUAUUGGUCAAUGGGCGGAAGCCUGAACCAGCCAAGUAGCGUGCAGGAUGAAGGCCCUACGGGUUGUAAACUGCUUUUAUACGGGAAUAACGCGCCUUACGUGUAGGCCUUUGCAUGUACCGUAUGAAUAAGGACCGGCUAAUUCCGUUCCAGCAGCCGCGGUAAUACGGAGGGUCCGGGCGUUAUCCGGAUUUAUUGGGUUUAAAGGGAGCGUAGGCCGCAUGUCAAGCCUGCUGUGAAAUGUCCGGGCUCAACCCGGGCCUUGCAGCGCGAACUGGCGUGCUGGAGUGCGCGGAAGGCAGGCGGAAUUCGUCGUGUAGCGGUGAAAUGCUUAGAUAUGACGAAGAACCCCGAUUGCGAAGGCAGCUUGCUGGAGCGGAACUGACGCUGAUGCUCGAAAGCGCGGGUAUCGAACAGGAUUAGAUACCCGUGUAGUC